RNAcentral lists this long non-coding RNA (19395 nucleotides) under Citrus sinensis (sweet orange). RNAcentral describes it as "long non-coding RNA (CSIN_LNC002567)". Lineage: Eukaryota; Viridiplantae; Streptophyta; Magnoliopsida; Sapindales; Rutaceae. The record is from RNAcentral.
AAUGAUGGUCAGCCUUUGGAGUUCAGUUCUGGAGAGGGGCUGGUGAGUUAUCCAUCUUAAAGGUUGAAAAAUCCAAGUGAAGCUCAAUUUUUUAAAUUUAAUUUGUAGAAUUUGGUGGGGAUAUAUACCAAAUUGGUGUAUCAAUGUUAAUUAUUCUUGGCCUUGUUGAGCAGAAACUUUGAUUUUGAUGUUUUUUUGCUGCAUUUUUAAUUCCGUGGGGCUCUGUUUUGUGUUAUAGGUGCCUGAGGGAUUUGAAAUGUGCGUUCGCUUGAUGCUGCCGGGAGAGAUAGCUCUUGUCACAUGCCCUCCUGAUUAUGCUUAUGACAAAUUUCUGAGGUUAUAAUUCGAUUCCAGUUGAUCCUCGAUCUAAUGGAACUUGUAAUCAUUUUUUUCUUCGUCCCCAUACCAUGUUAUUUUUAUAUUUUUUCCCCUCCCAUAAAUUAGGCCAGCUAAUGUUCCUGAAGGUGCUCAUAUUCAAUGGGAGAUUGAACUUCUUGGUUUUGAGAAGCCGAAGGUAAUCAGCUACUUAUAUUCCAGUGUUUCGUAUAUGGAAAAUGCUUUUGAGAAUAGAAAGGUUAAAAAGAAUCACUCUAAUUGGUAUGAGUACUAAUUAGGACUAGAUUGAAUUAUGAUUGCUUUGAUAAUACUCUUUUGCCUUGUCUAUAAAGCUUAGAUGUAUUACGUUGUGACUGAGAUUUUAUCUUUACUGGCUUUAACAUCUCUACCCAUGUUAACUUCAUUGAAAUAAACACUUUUUUGAUGAAUGAUUUAAAUCUUUAUGUCAGGACUGGACUGGUUUGAGCUUUGAUGGUAUAAUGGAUGAAGCAGAAAAGAUUAGAGUCACGGUAUGUACUUUAGGACCAUUUAUCUACUUUAUGAUGAUCUCAGAUUGCUCGACAUAUGUAUGACAAUUUUGUGUAUGUUGUAUGUGUGUGUGCAUUUUAAUUCUUGUAGAGGAGUUUCAAUGUUACAAAUUGGUGAGUCUGUCUUAACUUUAUUUGUGCCAUACAUGCUGAAGUUGGAGGCAGUAAUGGUUGGUUUGCAAAUUUUGAGACGCUGAUGUUACUAUUUAUCUUCAGGGUAAUAGGCUUUUCAAAGAAGGGAAGUUUGAACUUGCAAAGGCAAAGUAUGAGAAGGUAAUAUUUUCAGUCCUGAAAAUAGCUUGUGGUUGAGUACUUUUUGGACUCGACUAUUCUGUCCCAAGUGUAUUUUGUUUAGCAUUGUUACAUAGUUAGAAUUUCAACAAAGUCAACCAGUUCUUUUGGUUGAAGCCAUGGACUGCUAGUUCUAGAAAUCUGUAACAACAUGUCAGUGGGCCGGCACUGUUCUACAACUGAAUAAUCUGUUUUGCAACAAAGGAAAAAUCUUGAUUUUUAGUUGUUUACUACUAUGGAUAGAGAGCGGGUUUUGUUUUCUGGUUAUCUUGGUGCUUUUAAAAUUGUUGUCUUCUUGAUGUUAUGGCCCAGCUCAAAGAUUUCUGAUUGCUUCCAUAACGAAUUUAUGAUAUGUUGAUGUUUGUCUAUGGUGCAGUAAGUGCAUUUUCUAUGCAAUACAAUUAUAAUAUAUCUAUUUUGCUUUUCAUCAAGUUUUUAUCUAAUGCCACUUGGUGACUACUACACAGGUGCUUCGAGACUUUAAUCAUGUUAACCCGCAAGACGAUGAGGAAGGGAAAGUGUUUGUAGGCAAAAGAGUAUGUUUGUUUUCCUCUGUUGAUCCUGAGAAUAUACAUCUUUACUCAUGUUCGUUGUUAUUGAGAUGUCUAAUCUUUAUGCUGCUCUUCUUCCUAAUUUGGAUCAAUUUCGCUCCCUGUUUGAUUGUGUGAAGAAUUUGUUGCAUCUGAAUGUAGCUGCAUGCUUGCUCAAAUUGGGAGAAUGCAGAAAGUCCAUCGAGGCAUGCAAUAAGGUGUGUUGUUCUACUUGGAUUUCAAGUUGUUUCACCCCUUUCAAUCCUGAUCUAGCAGUUGCUUUUCUUUGGUUUAUCAGUGACCUAUUUAUCUUAUGAUUGGCUUAAUCUGAUAAUCAUCUAUGCUGUCUGUGUUGAUACUUUUUCUAGCCGAGAUUUGUCGUGAUUAUAUGGAGUUGUUCCAAGAUGUUUUCAUUCAAUUUUUAAACUGAAAUAUAAUAUCAGCUGUCAAGUAGCCAUAAUUGAUUGAGUAGCUGGGCCCCCUUGACUGAGAUUUAAAUUUUCAUAACUCUUGAAAGCUUCUUGUCGGAUCCUCUGUUCUUGUGGACUGCCUGAGUGAGUGGUCUCAGGGUCAUUCUCAAAUGUGGGUACUGAAAUGGAAUUACAGAGUCUUGGGUAAAGUAUGCUGAUGUUUACCACCAUCAUUUAAAAUUAUCCUACAGUAUGCUUGAUGUUUACCACCAUUGUUUAAAAUUAUCCUCCAUUGCUAUUAACAUGUGAAUGAGAUGAAUAUGGAGUAAUUUCGGAAGAUUUUACCUUAAACAGUGUAUAUUACUGUAAACUUGUCAGAUGUAGGCUAUCUUGUGCUGUUCUGUCAGGAUGGUUUGAGUAAUUGAUCUAGCACUAUAGUCUGUUCUUUGAGUUCAAAUCUUUAAAGGUACUCCUGGUGGAUUUGUGCAGGUCUUAGAUGCUAAUCCUGCUCAUGUAAAGGGUCUCUAUCGCCGUGGAAUGGCCUACAUGGCUCUUGGAGAAUUUGAGGAAGCUCAGAGGGAUUUCGAAAUGGUAAUUCUGAUAUGAUAUUUUGGAGUUGAUAGCUGGAUUUACAAUAUUCUGGGUGCUUCUUGGUGGUAAAAUCUUUUGGGUUGUACAUGAAAUCUGGGAUUCGAACCCACUCACAUGGGUGGGAACUGGGAAGUGGUUCGGUGGUUAUGCAUGCAAUAUUUUAUUUAGGGGAAAAAAUGAUUUCUGAUAUCCAUUUCUAAAAUUCUCAAUUCAAUUGGUUGCUGUUAGAUGAUGAAAGUUGACAAGUCAUCUGAACCUGAUGCAACUGCGGCUCUUUCAAAACUAAAGAAGCAGCGGCAGGUGUGUAGAAUGGCUACAACCUUUUUCUUUUUUCAGCUAGGCAGGGAGAAGAUGCGUAUUUUAUGUUCUAUGUGCCCUUAUUUUGAUGAGCAGGAAGUUGAAAGUAAGGCUAGAAAACAGUUUAAAGGGCUGUUUGACAAGAAGCCUGGGCAAAUUUCUGAAGUAGGUAUUGAAAAUCAAGGCGAAGAUCAAGCUGCAGGCAAAAAUGAGAAUGAUGGUAGUGAACAGGAGUCAGAUGGAGUUGAGGCGCAGGAAUUUCAUGAAGCUGCUGCUGAAGCCCCUCGAAAGGGCUGGUUCUACCGCUUUUGGCCUACCAGUGGAAGACUAUUUUCUGCUCUUGGACUUGAUAGAUGUACCAUAUUAUGACAUAAAAUAUCAAAGAUAGGCAUCUAACUUAUCAAGGUUCGAUCUAAUUUAUUCGCCUCAGAGCAUAUAACCAAGUUGGCUGUUGGCUGAGGAAGGAAUAAGGUGGCAUUGUAACAUUUUGAUGUAAACUGAGAAAUAAAGUAAAAGGAAAAUAUUUGUUCUUGACAUUCCUCUUUUUUUUUUUUUCCCAAAAAAAAGAAAAAAAGAAUUGUUAAACAAAGGAACACCAUUUAUUUCCUCUGCGACAAAGUACUUUUACAUGGGGAAAUUGAAUGCUGCUGUAUGCAUCGAAUGCCCUGAACUCCUAAGCAGCCACUUUUUUUUUUAUCGUUAAAAGAAGUACAGUUGCAUUGUUCAUUCAUUUGAUUCUUUCAAUAUAAUGGAGCAUUUGCUGAUCACAUAGGAGUAUACCAUGCAUCAAACUUUAGAGCUGAUGCCGGCAGAGGGCACUGCUGAAUCAGCUCGGUUAGCCGCGGCAAGAGCCCGGGCCUUGACUAGCAAGAAUCCCGCCCCAUGACCAGCAACGGCGACUAUGAACACGCCAAGAUUAAAGGACAUGACAGAAAGCAUGACCAUGUAAGCUAAAGCCAUCCUAACAACAUAAACGCAAGCUUGAAUCAACAGGGCAGCCAUCGAGCUGCUUCCAACAAGCUGCGGAGAGAUGGACAAGACUUCAACAGCAAAGCCUAGCAAGAACACAAAGAUUAGAGCCAGUAUGUACAUGCCGAGACUCCUUUCAGGCCAACCUGAGAACAAAACGAGGACAUCUUUGCCCCAGUAGAAGGUCAUGUGCAUCAUCAUACCCAUAUCCAUUGAUGUUGAGUUCAUGCUUCCAUCCGGCAUUGAUGAUCCUGGAGGCAUGUACAUGCCACCAUCGUGAUCAUGAUCAUAGAACAUUUUUCCUUUUUCCUGAGAAAAGAGAGAGAAUUGGGAGAGUAACUCGAGAUGAAAUGGUUUAUUGGGUGUAUCUAAAUUAAAUAGAAGAGCAGAAACAUAGGAGAAAACAUUGGAAGGAGAUAACGCCGAGGACUGAGAGACAAAACAAGAGAGACACUGUUUGACAUUGCUUGAAUUUUAAAUUAGUUUCACGCUUGUCACAACAUUGGUGCUUGAGUCGGCAAUAAAAGUAGAAAAUGCCGUACAGCUCACCAUGCAUGCUUUGCUACGAUGGCUUGAAAGCUCGACUUAGUGUAAUCAAACACAUUUAUAAAUAAGAAAAAAACAGUCUGAUAAUUAACCAUAUCAUUGUUUUUUUAAUAAUAAAUCUAAAGAACGUCGUCAUUGAACAAAAAAAAGUUUUGUAUUAAGGAACAGCGUCCAAUGGAUGCAAUGAAAACGAUCACGAAAACUAUGAUUAUAUAUAUCAUAUUAAAAUUGGGUCAUUAUUAGUUUGCCGAUCCAUCUACGGGCGGUGUUGUUUGAUGGAGAUGUAAAUUUGUCAACGAAGGGUUACCAUAUAUAUAUAUAUGUGUGUGUGUGUGUAUGUUGCCCACGAUUGUCUUAAUAAAAAUUACAAAAUUUUAUUAUGGCAGUCGAAUGACGAUAACAUAGAAAAGGGCAGAAUCAUUUAAUGCAAUCAAUUUUUCUUCUUUUUUUUUUUUUUUUUUUUUAGGGAUACCGCAUAGGUUGUGGCCUGAGUGCCUCUUUAAAGUAUUUGCUCUGAAGCCUCAUAUGUACAUAUGGUAGUUGUCUUCACAUUUUAAGAUAAUUUUUAUCAUCUUUUCCUCUUCUCUUCCUCCCGCAUUCCAAGUUUUGUCACCAGCAUCCGCUAAAAGGUAAAAGUGGAAAUAUGAAAUCGAUAAAAAUAAGCUUAUAUUAAGGCAAUUUUAAUGGUCAAAUACUGGCUCCUUAUUUCACCGUGAAAACGUUGCAAUUGAUUAUUAAUUGUGCAAAUUACUUCUUUAUUAUUGAUGAAAAGAAGGGUUAAAUUGAUUACACAUUAAUUGUGCGAACAACUACUAUAUUAUUGUUGUCGUUUCAAUUUUUAAAAGUAAAAAUUCUUUUUAUUGUAAUUCUAAACUGUAAGUGGGCCUGAAAAGAAGCCCAAUCAAGGCUUGUGAAAAUUGGCAGAUGAAGCCCAAGCAGCAAAUAGUGUUGUUUGUGAACUGACCGUCUCUGUACUACAAAUCUUACAUAUUACAUCAUGUACGUGCUUUAUAUUCCAAGAAGAAAAUAAUUAAGCAUAUGUUCGACCCAAAAUAUGUUCAAUAACAUACAAUUUAAAAAUAAUAAUAAUGAAAAACGAAAAAACACAUGUUUAAGCAUAAUCAAGGGAAAAUAUAAUUUAAAACUGAUUUAUUGGUCUUUAAAAUUUGAAGCACAGCGGAUCACUGAUUUUCUUUCAAGACUUUUUUUUUUUUUUUCCUUAUAAUCCCAAAUCCUCUCGUCUUCCAUUUGAAUUUCAAGCAUUAAAAAAACAAAGAACUGGAAAAGAACAAUAAUAAUAUAAAAAAAAAAGCAUGUUCAAGCGGGGGUUAAGUCUAAGACAUUAAUCGUCACUUAGGAGGAAGAAGAUCCGAAUCCUUAUGAGAAUCCGAAUCCGACCUACCGGACUUAUUAAAGACCACCCGACUGCCAAAGAGCAAGUACCCAACAGCAUGCCCGACGACAGCAGCAAUAAAAAUGCCACCAUUAAACGACAUGACGGCAAGCACGACCAUGUAAGCCAGCCCGACACGCACACCGUGCAACCCAGUCUUGAACAACCCAGCUGCCACGCGGCUAGCCCCCGGCUUCACAAUAUUGUAGUGACUUAGCCACUCAACAAUCACAGCCAGCGAAAAUACAAAUACCAAGGCCAGUACGUACAUGCCGGUGCUCGAACCCGGCCACCCGGGGAACAAAACCUGCGUGUUGUGGCCCCAGAAGAACGUCAUGUGCGCAAUCCUUUUGCGGUGAACGUGCAACCCCGUUGUGUUCCACGCCUCCGUUGUUACGGGCCUCACUGUAUGGUGACGUGAAGCCAUCGCUAUCGUGGUAUCUCGUGUUCUUAGUGAUAAUUAUCUGUUUUGUGUUUGAUGUUACACUACGUAUUCUUGAUAAGGACAGACAGGGGGCUGUUUUGUCUUUUAAGAAUUUGAUGAAGAAAGAUUUGUUCGAUCGCUUUACUGCCACGCUCUUUUUAAGGGAGAGUUGUAGUAUGAUGUGUAUAACUUACUUUCCAGGUUUUGUAUCACCGCACUUUCGGUUCUUGUUCUUGAAGUUUGCUUGCUGUCGUGGUGUUGUCUUUCUCCGGGUACAGGCUUUUAAAGCGGCGAAUAAUACUUUUUGGUUUGUCAAGAACCAUGUACGUGUUACAGGGACGCGUGUGAUUGGAAUUUUGUUUGUUCUCAAAUGUGCCAUGAUUCGUUUCCAAGUAAUUCCCCGAGGGAAAGUGAACUGAGCAGAAUAUUUAACGCAUGCAACUGGCAUUUUUGCGGGCCUACACAGAAGGAGUAUGAACAAGCCCCACGCAAGAAAUUCGGCGUCGAAUAUUUGUUCGAUUGCUGGGCUCGGAGCUCGUAUUUAUUGUUCAAGUCUCCUUUAUUUCUUUGGGCUCGUAGGUGAAGCCAGUACUUGGACCGAAAACGUACGUAAAAUGGUUAAAUUCUAGAACAAUAAAUGAAUUCAGACUGAAGACUGAAUGUCAAUCAUUUUGUAUUUUUGUAUUUUUGUAUUUGAAAUUAUCGAAUAUUAAGGGUGUGUGUUAGUUAAUUUAUAGUCGUGUUAAAUAUUUAGAAUGCUGAGAGAAACGGCAGCCUAUGCUGCCAUUUCGCUUCGCUCCCUUUCUCAGCGUUUUAGAUAUUUUUUAUUGUUAAAACUUUUUUUAAAAAAUUCAAAAUGACAAAAAAAUUGAAUAUGUUUACAUGCAUCACUCUCUCUUUGUCUUGACUUUAUGCUCACUCUCUCCGGACCAUCGCUCCUUAUCACGCUUCCUCACACUCUCUCUGACCUCUCUCUUAGGCUCCCCAUCACAUUUCCUCACUCUCUCCAGCUCCCCAUUACGCUUCCUCACUCUCUCCAGCUACCAAACAUGGAAGCGUCGCUCGUUUUAGAUAGCAGAACCCAACCGCCGCCCAUUUAUGGUCAGUGAUUAAAGAAAAUGAAAAAAAAUAUUUGUUUAUUGUACGUUCUUGGAUUAAUUUUGUAAAUUUUGGUGGUAAUUAUUUGAUGAUAAAGAUGAAUUUUUGGUUUGGAAUAUUAAUUAUGUGAAUAUUGCUGGAUUUUUUGUUUGGAGUAUUAAUUGUGUAAAAAUUGUUAUGAAAAUUGCUGGACUUUUCGUUUGGAGUAUUAAUUGUGUGAAAAUUGCUAUGAAAAUUACUGUAUUUUUCAUUUGAAAUAUUGAAUGUUUGAAAAUUUAUGUGAAAAUUAUUGGAUUUUGAUUCAAUGUGAUGUAGAAAUAUGAGUUGGGUGAAAAUUUUAUUGAUUUGUUUAGAAAAUGUCUAUAGGGUUAAUCAUUUCAUUUCUCUUUUAUCUAACUGCAAUAUCUACUUACACCAACUCUUAAUGUUCAUCUAGCACAUGUACCCUUAUAAAUGAGCACUAACCCUCAUAGCUUGGUAUGAAAUUAUGAAUUCAAAAAUUGAAUUUGGUAUUCAAUAUGUAGAAUUUUUGUCUUUAAUGUUUUGUAUGAGGAGUAGUUUUAGGGUAGAUGAACACAAAUGAAGAUAUUUAGUGCAGUUGGCAAUGAGCCCAGCUUGAAUUAGACACUUCGAUCAAGUGGCUUGCCACUAGCUUUGCCAUUAUUAGAUUCUUUCAAUCCUCUGCUUGAUUAGGAAAUUCAAAACCAUUAACAGAGUUUACUUAGGAGCUGAUGACACCAUUACAACUUACAAAAAGCAAAGCAAAAAAAAAAUGACAAUUUUGCCUCAAUCACCAAAACCCUUCAUGUAUUGACCUUCUACUCUAUCAUUCUCCAUAAAAAAAUAUGUGUGCACUGCAUAUAUCUUCAAUGUGAACUAAAUCAAUUGACCCCGUUCUGUCAUUUACAGAAGACAAUAUUGAAAAGAACUUAGAGUCACCUAAGGAAGUAGCCAAUUUGCGAGUUAUAAUACUUUCUUUAUUUCAUGUGCAUGUGUGCAUCCAUAGACCUGUUACUAGUAGGUUAUUUAUUACACAUGUUGAAAAUAUAUUAUAAGCAGAAUUAUUUCAACCAAAUUUUUUUCUAUGCAUUUUAUGACUAAGGGAAGAGUUUGAUGUAUUAUAAGCAGAAUUAAUUAUUGAUACCUAGCAACACUUUAUUUUAUACUUUGUCUAAUGUGAACUCUAAAUUUUGUUUGAACUCUUUUUUUUUUGGCAAUUAAAGUAGUCUAUUAAUGGUAAUAUCAUCCACCACAAAUGAAACUCAAAAUUCAUUGCAAAUAUGUAACAAAUAUGGUGACCAAAUGGAGUUGUUAACGUCACGUAUUACAAAGAAUCUAAAUCGCAAAUUUUGGAAAUGUAGAGGAUGUAAAAACUUUCAAUGAGCAGAAGACGGUAAAAUCUCGUAAAGAGAAAAUUGACUUGUUAGUAGAGGAAGUUAGGAAGUUAGGAAGUUGACAUUGGAGAUUGAGUAUUUGUCUAUUAAAUUUCAAUUGUUACAUAAAAAAAAAAUUGAGCAUAUGCAACAAUGUGAAGUACAUAGACGAUUGUUUGACAAUGAACUUCGAAGGAGACAGACAUCAUAAUAUGAUUUCAUUAGAAUACUUUUGAUUGUUAUAUUAUGCUUUAUAUUCAAGUUUUAUUUUUAAGUUGUUUCAAUUUAUAUUAUCUAUUGGAAAAAAAACAUGUAGACAUAUAUAACAAUAUUUUCCCUCAAAAUAUAAGACUUUGAGUUGUUUCACUUUAUUGAGUUUGAAAUUAGAUUCAAAUUAUUGUGGAUGCCAAAAUAGCAUACAAUGAGUACAAGCACAUUGAAAUUGCAAUGAUUUAUUCCAUUGAAAAUUAUCAAAAAAGCCACCAGACCAACAAAAAUUAUUGGAAAAAAAAAACAAUAGGGAAAUUAAUCAUUACUAUAAUUAGUUGUUUUAAGCCAAAUCUAAGUGAAAUAAUAGAGAAAAUAAUCUGAAUAGAAUACAAGUCAAACAUCGAUCACAUCAAUUGUUGUCUUUAUUACAUUGUUGAUGUAGUAAUUAUUGGAAAUUACCACUUCUAGAUCUUUUAUAAGUCAUCAAAGGAGAAAAAUAACGUAAUUGCAAAGCAUACGGUGGGACUAGCUGCUAUAAUACCCAAAAAAUUAAAACAUUAUAUUACAUUUUAGUUAUUUAAAAAUACAAGUAUAUACUAAGAAACUGUAAUUUUAAGACAACAACUUAUGCUGUGUUUAUUUGCUGGAGUGGGAGUGAGGAGUGUGGAUUCCUCCCACUCCAGUGUUUACUUCCUCUAAAUAGGAAGAGAGUGGGAAUCCCACUCCGUGGGCCCCACCCAUUUUUGGAGUGGGGAGUGGGAGUGGGACUCCCAAUUCCCACUCCCACCUCCCCCCUUUUUUACCCUUUUAUUUUUUUUAAUUUAAUUUAAUUUAAUAUUUUAUAAUUAAUAAAAUAAAAUAAAUAUUAUUAUAUUUAUUUGAAUAAUAUUAUUAUAUUUAACUAAAUCACUCAUCAGUACAGCUGCUGGCCACACACCAAAUAAUUUAUUGUUCAUAAUUAAGAAUAUUAAUAAUUAUAAUAAAUUUACAAAUAUAAUAAAAUAAAUAUUAUUCAUUAAAUAUAUUUUUUAUUAGUUUUGUAAUUAAAAACUAUAAUUCUUUAAAUAAGGAUAAAAUUGUAAUUUGAAACUAUUUACUUCCAAUCCAAGACAAAGUAAACACAUAAAUUGGAUUCUAAUCUCUAUUCCAUGCUUCCAUUCUAAUGUAAGUAAACAACCUACUCCCACUCCCACUCCACACUCCCAAUUCUAGGAUUCCCAAUCCUAGGAUUCCCACUCCUAGGAUUCCCACUCCUCAGGAUUCCCAAUCCAAUCCAAAAAGUAAACGCUACCUUAUUGUGUGCUAAUAAAAGGAAAUGACUGAUAAAUAUUAUGUAAUAUUAUGUACACCAACUUAGGUUGGGUAUAUAGGUACAUAGGCAAAUAAGAUAUAAUUAAAAUUUCUUCACGAAUUUAAUUCUUAUUUUUAUAAUAGCCUAAAGUCUCGUAUUAAUUGAGAUUGGCAUUAACAAUACUUUCUUUCUGUAACGUCUACAUAUGUUUAAUAAUAUACUUAGUUACGUAUCUUUAAAAUAAAAGAAAAGUGUAAUACAAAAAUUCACAAACUUACCAUGGCCACGUUGCUUUGUUGUGUAGAGAUUUCAUUAGGUACUUCAUAAGAUGAUGGCACAUCUUCUUGUAAAUCCUGUAAAAUUAUAACAAAAAAUUAAACGAAGAACAAAUGAAAUUACAUAUAUAUAUAUUUCAGUAAACGUUUUUUUGUGUAGUCUUCUUCUUUUGGACUAUGAAUUACAGAUUGUUUUCUUAGAUAAAGAAGACGACCAUUACGAUGUGAUACUAUUAGAUUAUUGGUUACAUGUUCAAUAGUAUUGCUUUUGCAACUUACUUCAUCUCUAAUAGUUGUUGGUGAAACAAUUGUUUCGACACUUACACAUCGAAUUGCUUGGGUAGAUCUUUCAGUGCCUUAUUAAUCCAAUCCAAUACAAAUUUAUAACUAUUUUCGUCAUCAAUAGGUAUGUUUGCAACCUUACUAAAAUCAAUAGACAUUUUGUCAUAUCUCUUCUACUAACUAGAGAAAUGAUGCACAUCAUGACUAACUUUGACCUUAUUAUAGGAUCUCUUCACAUCUUUCCUCCAUUAUAAUAAAAUGUACAUUUUUUAAAACAAUUCAACAUUGUUAUGUAUCAACACUGCAAGGGCAUGUCUACAAAAAAUCCCCGUAAACUAAAACUUUGAAUAAAUACAACUAACUCCACACUCGGUUUCUUCAAGAAUAACCUCAAAGCUUUUUUUCUUACAUUUCUCAUAAGAUUCACUGAUUUCAUAAAUUUAUCCCAUAUAAUUAACUAUAUCAUAAUAUAUAAGUGCAGUUAAUUCUUGCUGAAAUUCGUUAAACUUAGAAAUAGUGUACACCUCUUCAAAUUGCUUAUCCAUUUUAUAUCUUAUCACCCAUAAGGUUUUUUUUUGUUGAAACACUUUGCAUCUGCUUGUCAUUCUAAUUCAACUUUCUUUCUUAACGUAUUUUCAUAUUGCUUCACAAACAGCUUUAAAUUUGUUUUGGAGUUAACAAACUGAACAAAAAAUGUAUUUAUACUUUCACUUCGCUGAGUUGUUGACUUUCCUCCUUAAAAAUGGUCUUUCAAAUAAUAUGGAACCUAAUUGUGCCACUUUUAUAUAAACCAUUUAAUUAAUCAUUAUCUCACAAAUCAUAUAUUGUAAUCAUGUCAUGCCAAGUUUUCUCAAACACAGCAGGGUUCAAUGAAUCAUAAAUAACAAAAAGCAAUGAAGAAAUAAUAUCUUCACGUUUUUUAAAAACCACUAACUUCUCAAGUAUCUUUUUCAUUAUAUGCCACAAACAUCAUUGAUGCAUAGUCGUAGGAAAAGCAUUCUCAAUUACCUUUUGUGUUGCUUUGUCUUGGUCUAUAAUGAUUCUAAUGGAGAACCUAACAUACAUGAUAGUCAUGCCUCAAAUAACCACAUAAAUAUCUCGAUAUUCUCGUGUGAAAUCAAUCUGCUUCCUAAUAAAAUAGACUGGUCAUGAUGAUUAACUCCGACAAAAUGAGCGAAUGACAUGUCAUACUUGUUGGUAAGAUAUAUGGUAUCAAAUGUGAUGACGUCUCCAAAAUAUUUGUAAGCUGCUCUACUUUUUGGAUCUACGUGAAAUACAUUUUUAACCGAUCCUACUUAUCCAAAUCAACACUAAAAAAAAAAAAAAAACACUUGCAUUUUGCUUGCUCUUUCUAAUAGUGCUUGAAAAUUGCCAUAACAUCUAUUUCUCUAAGUUGUAAUUUUCUAACUUUGUCAACAAGAUUUCUAUACUCUUUUUUUAGAAAUGAGACAUUUUAAUGUCCACCAACUUAUGUUAAUAUGAAUAUAUCUAUUGAUUUUGAUGAUAACAAACAUGAUCAAGAUUGAUUAAGUUUUUGAAAGUUCAAACGAUUUUCAUACAUUUUUUAAUAAAUCAUUAGUUUGGUAUAAUAAUGGUUUUUAUUCUUAAAUGAAAAUGAUUUAAUAAAAUUAGUUGUUUUUUUUUGAAAGACCAUGAUCUAAAUAAAAAUUAGCUUCUGGACACAGUCGACGAACCGACUUCAUGAUAACGGCUAACCGACAUUGAACAUACUUGAUAAUUAGCUUCUGGACCCUGUCGACAAUCCGACAUUUUGAUAACGGCUAAUCGACAUCAAAUAGAAUUGAAAAUUAGCCUCUGAACACUAUCGGCGAUCCGACAUCUUGAUAAUGGCUAAUCGACAUCGAACAUAAUUGAAGUUUAGCCUCUGGACACUAACAACAAACCGACUUCUUGAAAACGGUAAGCUGACAUUUUCUUUACAGGUCAUUGGAUGAUAAUGGCGAUCCAGGAUUUCAAUAACAGUGAUUCGAUAAUUUGAAAAUAUGUCCAAUGGUAACUUACUCAAGUCAAAACGGCAAUAUGACUUCUAGUUAACGGCGAUCCGACUUCGAGCAAAUUGUCUGUAACAGCUAGUUUUUAACUCAAACUACAACAACGAUUCCAACUAUUAUUAUUGAGCAUGCAACUUUCAUUGAGCUUUAAAUUCUUAUAUACAUCUCAUUUACCCACACUUUAAAAUUCCAUUUGUAAUCAAACACAUUGUCUGUGAGAGAUUUAUUUUGUAAUCUUUUUGAAAAUCAAAUUGAGAGAUUGUAAGUGUUGGGAUACACUUGGGUUAAGAGAUUGAGGAUAAUCUCUUGUUGUAAAUGUUUAUUGACACAUUGGAAGUCAAUUGUAAGAGUGGUUGAAGCCUUGGAGGUAUGCUUAGUGGAAUCCUCAUGUCUGGUGAGCUUGGAGGCAUGGACGCAGGCACGGUUAGCCGAACCACGUAAAAAUCACGUGUUUGAUCUCUCCUCCCUUACUCUUUUACUAUUGCGCUUGAUUAAAUUUAUUGUUUUUGUUUUUAUUAGGGCAAUAGAUUGAAUUGUUGUGUGGUUUGCUUUGCAUAAGUUUUUAAAAUCUCAAUUCACCCCCCCUCUUGGGUUGCCUACUUAUUAUUUCAGCUUCAACAAUAAUAGAAUUAAAAUUUUAGCAAUGUUAAUUCCUGCACAAUCAUUCAUGUAAUACGUUUUUUUGCACUUGCACUAAUGCUAUGAUUACAAGGAAAAUACCUAGCCUUAUGAUUGUGCUGAAGGUUUAAAGUUCGAAGAACCCAUGUUCUAUCUUCAUUUACACAACCUCCAAUUCUACCAUCACAACCAAAUUUUACAAUAUAUUUUGACUUCAACACAUUAGUAGAUUUACUUUCCGACUUGCCGCUGGCCACAUGCAAAUGUCAUAUAUUUUACAAUUCCAUCACUCAUUUUCUUACUAGUUAGUUUCUUCACAAGAAACCCUUCUUUUUUACCAUAGGUUUUAUGAAACGCCUAUAUUUCCUCGUGACUAUCAAAUAAUAUCUCACGAGUUGACACAUAUUUUUUUAUUGCACAUCUUCGACUCCAGCCUCAUUUUUAAAAUUUUUAUUUCUACAAAAUAAUUAACAUUUGUAUUGAUAAUAAAUUAUUAUAAAUUUUUGCAAAAUUUUGGUCCAACAAAAAUUGAAUCCAUUAAGUUUCUAAAAAUUUAAAUUUAAAAAAUUUCUAAAUCAAACAAAAUUAUCAUUAUCAUUUAACUAGUAAACUGAUUCCAGGAGUAUUAAGCAAAAUGUAGGUACAUUUCUAUUAAUAUUGAUAUAAUAGAAAAUAAUAUUCAAAAUAAAAAAUCACUCUUUAUAAUCAAGUAAUUACCAUCUUUCUGUUUUGUUUCCAAAUCUAGAUCGGGCAGUACUUCCGUGUUUGGGAGAAUUUGUGUAGAGUUUUGGUAGCUGGAUAGAGUGAGGAAGCCUGAAGCGUGAUGUUGGUAGUGGUAGCUGCAGGAGAGAAAGUGAGGAUGAGUACAUAAGUGAGUGAGGAUGAGUUUACUUCCUCACUGUUGAGAGAGAGAAUAUUCAUGUGAGAGAGAGAGAGAGAGCUACAUGUUUCUUCUAUCAUUUUCUACAUUUUUUUUAAUAUUUUCAACAAUAUAGAAUUAUUACAAUGUCGAGAGAGAGAGUGAUGCACGUGAAUAGAUUCAACUUUUUAUCAUUUUUCACUUUAUUUUAUAUUUUUUUAACAAUAAAAAAGUGUAGAAUGUUGAGGGAGGGAGAAAAAUAAAACGGCAGCACAAAUUGUUGUUUUUCUCAACCAUCUCUCAAUUUUUUAAACAAUGACCAUUUUUCUAAUUUAUAACACUAUCUCUUAAAAGUAAUACAAGAAAUAUGAGGUUUGAACUCUGCUUAGUCAUGUCGAAGUUAAAGAGACAUCAAAUUAAAAGAAUGUUGUGAAAUUUAUCCUUUAAAAUAAGAAUAAAACUGAAGCAACACUACAAAAGAAAGCAAAGUGGCAUGACAAGCAUAAAAUAGAAUUACAUUAUGCGACUUAAAGACUACAAUAUUAAUAUAGCUAUCGGCACGUGUUAGGAAUUGCAAGCAACGGGCUAAAUUUAUAAUUUGAUUAAUUUGUGAUAUAAUUUAUUAUAGAAAAUCUUUGUAGUUCGUAUAGGACCCAUUUAUAGAUCAAUUAAUAAUUUACUAAUAUGCAACUAGAUCUGUUAGAUUUAUGUUUAGUUUAAUUAAGUGCAAAUGAUGGCUUACUGUUUAUGAAUCGUGGACAUUGGACAAUAUAUAUACUUAUACAAGUAUGAAAGCUUCUAGCCUAGCUAUGAACAGAUUUUGCUUACGUAUCUGUGUACUAAAUAUUUACAUGCCAAUAAAAUAAAGACAAUUGAUAUUGACAUGGAUCAUUUACUAUAGUUUAAAACACGUCGAAUCCUUUGGUAAUAGCGUUACUGGCAUCAAGACUAACUAAAUCACAUGACAUUUCAUGUUGAUUUGUUUGAUUGUUGUGUUUGAGAUAUUUUGAUAAAAAAAAAAAAGAAACGAAAAGAGAGAAUAUAUUCACAAAUUAAUAAUAUUGUUACUAUUUAAAUUAAUAAUAUUCACCCAAGGGUCUUCGUUAUGGAUUAGCUGCUCAUCUUCACACUCAUCUGAUUUCAAGCCCUAAGAUUAGAAAACUUAGAAAGAAAAAAGAAAAGAAAUAAACCAAACAAAUAAAAAUUAAACGGUGCUUUUGGUAUUAAAUAAAAAAUUAUUGAUAAAGGGCUUUCAUAAGAAUUUUAGAUGGGUGUUAAAAAGCUCUCCUAAACUAUUUUAUGGGAUAAUAUUAAUCAUAAUCCAAAUAUGUGAAUGAUAAUCCACACAAGUCCGGCCCGUAUUUACUUAGUUAUAACUUUUAACGCACCAAGUCGCAAUAUGUAUUUGUAAUUUUGUAUUUGUAGUGGAUUAGCUUUGUUCAUGCACAUCUUAUCCUGUGGCGAUUCCACUUUUCAAAAUGGCUGAGAAUAUGGUACCAUCAGUUAAGAUCACAUUUUCUUUUCUCAUCUAAACAGUAGGAGACACGAUAUCAGUAAACCUUGAAUUAUCAAACAAAUUGCAAAAGUAUCAAUACUCAUUACAAAUUGUAAGACAAUAUAAUGAUAAAAAAUUUCAGUUAGUCCUUGAAAAUAGAGAUGAGAGUAAGACAAUAACCUCAAUCCUGUUCGUGACCUCAAUUUGUGAUGUGUCAUAGACAAAGCAAACAUGAAAAAUCGAAAAGCUGGUGAGUAAAAAUUAGCAUCAACAGGUUUAGAAUAUAAAUAGUAAGCUGUACUGACGUGACGGGUCAUUAUUUAUUAUAAUAUAUGCAUGGUUUCAUUAGCAAACUGUUCUUGCAAAACACAAACACAGACACAGUUACUUGUAUAGUACAAAUCUUUAUUUGUAAAUUAAUUAGCCAGUGAUACAUGCCUAUAUAGUUUAGCUUUGUUCAGACGCCGGUAAUUUUGAUGCUUCUGGAAUGACCAUGAUGCUUCUUAAUAUCCUUUUUGGGAACGGUGACAGUGAGCGUUGAAUUCGCUAUAUGAGCAGUUAUUCUAUCAACCAUGGCGUUUUCAGGUAACUGAAAACGUCUAGAGAACUUGCCGACGGCAACCUCCAGGCGGUGACCCUCAUCCGUCCUCUCUUCUUUCUCAAUCUUCUGCUCCCCGCUUAUGCAGAGGACUCUCCCGUCUUCGAUUUCCACCUUCACAUCGUGCUUGUGAAACCCUGAGAGAUCAGCUUUGAACACGUGGCAUUCCGGGGUGUCAUGCCAGUCAAUCCGAGUUGGAAUCAUCAUCGGCGGCGAAAACUGAUGAACGUGCUGGAACUGGCCGCCGUUCCACAUGUCAUCGGAUAAGGGAAACGGAGGAUGAUGGUAUCCUACAGCACCAGCGAAUCUGCUACGGGAAAUCUGAGACAUAUUGUUGUUUUGUAAAUUAAUUAAUUUUUUUAUGUAUGCUGUGGAAGGGAAAUGGUGAAGCUAUACUUAUAGCCAGGGAAUUUAUACAAAGUAUGGUGUUUCUUGGCAUCAGUGAAAGGAAGCAUAUGAUAAAUCGUAUAAGAAUGAAGAAUUGGACCAGCUUAGAUUUUAGAUUUGCGCUGGGACUAGUCCUUGUCAGAAUAUAUGCACACUAAUCUUUUAAAUGUUGAGCAAUAGAUAAGACAUGCACUACCGUUUUAUUAUUAUUAUUAUUAUUAUUAUUAUUUUAAAUAUGGCUACUAUCACUAUAGAAAAAAAAGAUCUAUCCUUUUUAAUUGGAAUUUGGAUAGGAAAAGUAAUAGAUACCACCUGCAGCGGGCUUAUCAUUACCAAAUUUACAUCCGCAAAAAAAUUAUCGAACCCACAUAUAACUCGUUGUGGAUUUUUAGUUUUUUUCAAAAAUUCUCCUAGUGCAGAUUUUAAUAAUUACCAAAUCUACCUACAAUCCAUAAUAGGUUUUGCUUAUAACCUGCAGUGGCAGUAAUAGCUAUAUAUUUAUUUCAGAUCAUAACACCACAUCUAGAUUCAUAAUACCAUAUUCAAAAAAUUAGAUUUAUCAAAUAUUUCUAUAAAAAAUAGCUUUACUAUUGCAUACAAAUAUACAAUUAACUCUACACUAAAAGUUAUCUGUAUGCUUGAGCUUCUUAUUAGAUUAGUCGCCAAAUAUAUGCAUACGUACUGUGAAAAAGAAUGAUGUAAAUCAAGCUAGCGAUAGCAAUUGUGCAUUUUUAUAAUUAAAUAUUUUAGUGAUUAAGAAGAUUAAGUUAAGUCUUGAGUAACAAAUGACUCUCAUUAACUUAGUUUAUAACUUUUAUAAUAAAAUAUUUUUAAAUGUGACUUUAAUAAUUAAAAUAAAAUUGCAGGUCGGUAGAUACCCGCCAGACUUUUUGUUAAUACCAAACCCACUUACAACUCGUAAUGGAUUUAAAUUUGUAAUAUGAAAUCCACUAGCGACCCGUAAAAUUACCCGCAGUAGUGGGUUUUUAAUGGGCGAAUUUUGAAGAAUUUACUAGUUUGUGAAUAUUGUUGCAAUUCCUAAAUAUGGGCUAAGUCAAAAUUGGCAGCCACCCUAAAAAGGCACAUGGUAAUGUUUUUUAAUUACGCUCUAUAUGCAGAUUUCCCAUAAAAGUAUAUAUAUCAGACCUUGUUCAUCCAGAUUUAGAUGUGGAUGCUGGUAGAUGUUCGGACGUAAUUUUGUCAUUUUGUGUAUAAAAUAAAAAGUGAUGGUAUUUGAACAGCGGAAAUCUUGACUCUUAAUGGGCCUAGGCCUCUUUCUAAUAUGGAUCAAAACUCAGCAAAGGCCACCCAAUUGAAUCUUCAAACCUAGAAUGGUUUUAAUGUCUGGGUUUAAUCAAUUAUUGGCCCUGAGCCUAGAGCAAGGCCAGCCCAUAUGCUAGAACCCGUACAAAUUUCCAAUGAUUAAGCUUUUGAAAUCAAGCUCAAUUAAUUAUAAAGCCACUGCCACGCAAGAAGAAGAUGGGGGAAGGUUAUAGAGGCAACAAGACACGUCCAGAAAUGACCAAGAUCAACCCCGAAACUUCAAGAGCUCACCGCCUAAUUCCCUAUAAAUAGCAACCCAUGAGCUCCGCUCACUUCAUCAGUAAAGAGUGAAGACCCAAUAGAUAAAUAAGCAAACGAUUUCGAAGAAAGUGCUCGUCGCUUUGAUUAAGCAAAAAUGUCUUUGAUUCCAUCUAUAUUCGGAAACAGGAGCGUGUUCGACCCAUUUUCCUCGGACGUUUGGGCGCCCCUUGGCUCCUCCAGCAAUGAGGUGUCAACAUUUGCCAGUGCUCAAGUCGAUUGGAAAGAAACCCCGGAAGCUCAUGUUUUCAAGGCGGAUCUUCCGGGGCUCAAGAAAGAGGAAGUGAAGGUUGAAGUUGAGGACGGGAGAGUCCUUCAGAUCAGCGGUGAGAGGAGCGUCGAGAAGGAAGACAAGAACGACAAAUGGCGGCGUGUUGAGAGGGGCCGCGGCAAGUUCCUGAGGAGGUUCCGGUUGCCUGAGAAUGCCAAGAUCGAUCAAGUUAAGGCAUCAAUGGAGAAUGGUGUCCUCACCGUCACUGUUCCCAAAGUGGAGGAGAAGAAGCCUGAGGUCAAAUCCAUUCAGAUCACUGGUUGAAACUCUCCGUUAAUUGCAGCCUUUUUAAUUUGGUUCUUGUUUUGUUCUGUGUGUUAAUGAACGAUGUGCGAUUGCUGUUAAGUGUGUCGCAUACUUUUGUUCAUGUAAUGUGUUGUCGACUGCUUUUUUAAGUAAUUUUAAGUAAUAAAAAUAUGUUGUUUUCUUGGAAGGAGAAAUAUAUUAAUUAUUAAUUCAUGUAACCGGGGACUUAGCCAAUAUUUUGGUUGUCCAAAUAUUGUGAUAGUGCUUGUGGCAAGCUCUCAACGGAAGAUGUAUGGUGGUGAGCCUUACAAUCUGUAAAUAAGAGUUUGUCGUGGACUUCUUGUUCAAGUGCGCACACUUGAACACCCUUUGAAAGAUUAUUAGAUAACAAUAUAAAAUAUUGCGGCUAUAAUGUAAUUGAUAAUAAAUUUAUUUAUUAUAAAUUGUAUUCGUUUAUUAUAAAUCGUAUUCGUUCUUUCAUGUGA